Molecule: RNA transcript, 2789 nt
Organism: Hevea brasiliensis (rubber tree)
Lineage: Eukaryota; Viridiplantae; Streptophyta; Magnoliopsida; Malpighiales; Euphorbiaceae
Exons: 6
Source: RefSeq, a predicted model, not a curated record
AUAGAAUUCAGCGACUAGUCCAAAACCGAUCGGAGAAUCAUAAUUAUAUUAAUUUUUUUUUAAUUGAAAUGAUUUUUAUUAAAUAGGCUACAUGGAGGUGAGAAGAGAAAGAAAUGAGAACUAAUAAGGAACAGUAACGCCCUAAUUCUAGUGACAACAGAAUUUGAAAAAAAAAAAAAGUAAAUUAAAUAAAUUAAUAAAUUGUUAAGUUUUGAAUUUUUGAAAAAUUAAAAAAAAAUAAAAGAAAGAAAGAAGUCUAGAGAUUUCUCCAAGCCUCUAGCUGUAAUAGAAAGGGGCAAAAUAGGAAAACAAAAGUCGAGAAUUGGGGGAGAAACAGGGGGAGCAUCCACGGGUUAGAGAAAGAGGGGGGGAGGGACAAAAAUAGUGGUGCCGAACCCAAUCCAGCCAAUUUUUUAACCAAACUCCAUUUUCUCAAGCCAUUUUUUUUAUCACCACAGAAUGUUCUCACCUUGAAGAAGUUAGUUGCUGUACACUUUCACCCAAGUACCCAAAAUUGAAGAAGUGGAGAGAAAGUGUCGCACUGUCCAUCUCUUAACAUGACGUUUUUGAUGCCAAUGGUGCCUGCAUGCAGUUUCCUUCCAUAAUUUAGCCACUAUAAAACUCUCCCAAGCCUCCAUUAUUAGCCAAUAAUUGGAAAGAAAGAAGAAUCAAAAGUUUUGGGGAAACUAAGUCUACAGCUAAUACACAAACUCGACAAAACAUCAGCAGAGGAGAAGGUGGUCACAGAGGUCACUGGAACCUUAUCUACACCAUGAAAUCUUCAUUAGGCCAUUUUGAACGUGUUGAGUAAAAAAUAAAAAAUAAAAAAAGACUAGCAGCUCUUUGGGUUUCAUGUGAACAGCCCCAAUUUCUUCAAUUUUUCCUGCCUUCUGGUUUAACAAUGCAAAUUUCAUUUGAUUGUCGGAAUGCAAAUUGGGCAAAGCUUCUCCAAUCUUCCAUGCAGUGUCAAGUGAAGGCCCUUUUAUUCCUAUUCCUAGACUUGCAUAUCUAUUCAGUCCAUGAGGAGUUGUUGGGGCCAAACUAUGACGAGAAAUAACUAAUGUGGCAGGGCAAUAUAUAUGGCAACAAAUCGGAUGAAACAUUGCCAUAAGAUAUUUUUUAGUGCCAAAUCAUAUAUGCUAUCAGAGGAAAAGUUCAUGAUUGCUACCACAAAGUAACCCUUCUUUCAUCCCAAAACAUCAUAAGUCAACCAUGACUCAUUCUGAUCCUUUAUCAAUUGGUGCUGAAGGCCCUCAAGGGGAGUAGGACAUUGGAGCAUCAAGUCAAGGACAUGGUAAAAGCGGUCAAUCGAAACAGAAGACAAAAAGGCGUGAUGGGUAUCUCUCUAAAGCGCCAUAACUUGACUGCCUAUGCGCCGUAUGUGUUCUAAAGCGCCAUAGAAGAGAGCGUGAGGAGAAUGCUGGACUUGCUAACGGUAAGAUUGGAGGCGCUGAUAACAAACAUGCUCAUGAGUUGAAGCAAGAGAAUUGGUUUGUGAGAUCAGCACAUUAGUGGAGAAAGAAGAGGAUAAGUCUCAUCCCAAUAACUGUUUCUGGGAUUUUUGCCUUUGAGCAAGAAGCAGCUGUCAUGGGUUUCUUUGAUUUUGUCUUGUAAAUAAAUUUUCCAAACGUAAUAAGGUUGGCACCACCUUGGUUCCCUUUGUAGUAUUCUUCUCUUUGCUUAUUUGUUACAAAAAGAAUAAUAUUAAAAUUUCAUGUUGUGAAGUGAAAAUAAUAAUAAUAAUAAUAAUACUUGUUUGUUCUCUCUCUCUCUCUCUCUCACACACACACACACACACUUUUGAAGGGAUGUUCACUUAUAGAAAGUCCAGGAGAUGAAGAUUCAUCAUCAAAUAUGGGCGAAUCAAUAGAUCCAGAUGCAGAUGCUGAGGUGGAAGAAAAGGGACGGGUGAAAAUAGGGGAUAGUGAGCAUCUGUAGAGCCCUGUUAAGGAGAAGCAUGAGGAGGCAGAGGAAGACGAUGAUGAAGAGGAAGAGGAGAAGAAUGAGAUAGAGAUUCAAAAGAAAGGGAAGGUUGAAAUGUCAGAGCAAUCAGAGUUUGCUGAUAGAUCAGGAGAGAAGCCUAGUCAACAAUCUCAGCCUGGACUAGCAGGUGCAGUGGACCAAAUGCAUAUCGAGAAGGGACAUGCAAUAGGACAAUAUGAGGAAGAAACUCAAAAAGUUCAGCAAAAUAAGAAUAAGGAAUCACAAGAAGGAGAGCAGAAGGCUAUAAUGUUUGAGAAGUUCCAUUCUGAAAAUCCUUUGCUUCUAAAUGUGUGCAGAACUCUCUUCCCUGCCAACCAUAAAUAUGUCUGGAGUGGACCUCGCGCACUGGUUCAGCGUGAAGGUUCCCGUCGUAGAAGUUGUAUUGAUGCUGCUAUUGAAAUUUUGAUGAAGUAGGUACGUUUUGAUUACUUCAGAUUGCCCCUACAAAGGAUCUGAAUCAAUCUUAUGCUCCGCCUGGAUCAAAUAUAAUGUUAUAGUGUGGCAUGUUUGACAUAAAUGCUUGCAUACAAAUGGAAUGUCUGGUAGUUGGUGGCUCUUCUCAGCUGAGAAUGGUAAUUUGCUUUGGUAUGGUCUUGAUUUACAAUCCCUAGUCAGCAUUUGUUGUGACCUUUUGGGUAUGUGGGAAGAUACACUGGUAUUUCUUGUUGUGAAUACACUUGGUAACUGUAAUGAUUUAAUAUUGAGCUAAGAUUUUUUAGUGUGUUAUUGCAGGAAACAAUCACUUGUAAAACUGUAAAUAGUUGAUCCUUUUUAUUUCCACACAUCUAUUUCUUUUCAUUUCUAAA